GAGAACUGGGUGUCAGCGGGCGGGGUAAUACGAAGGUGUGAAAAGUUGACCGGAAUGUGUGGGCGGCAAUCGCACGGAGGCGGCUUAGCAAGUGCCAUGUGAAAUCCCACGUCGUAACCGUGGAAGUGCAUGGGAAACUACUGAGCUUGAGUACUUAAGAGGAUCGCGGAAUUCCCGGUGUAGAGGUGAAAUUCGUAGAUAUCGGGAGGAACACCAGUGGCGAAGGCGGCGAUCUGGGAAGAUACUGACGCUGAGGUGCGAAAGCGUGGGGAGCAAACAGGAUUAGAUACCCCUGUAGUC
Molecule: ribosomal RNA, 300 nt
Filed under: uncultured Pelosinus sp.
Lineage: Bacteria; Bacillati; Bacillota; Negativicutes; Selenomonadales; Sporomusaceae
Description: bacterial SSU rRNA
Rfam family: Bacterial small subunit ribosomal RNA
Source: RNAcentral